RNAcentral lists this long non-coding RNA (1702 nucleotides) under Olea europaea subsp. europaea. The record is from RNAcentral. Lineage: Eukaryota; Viridiplantae; Streptophyta; Magnoliopsida; Lamiales; Oleaceae.
UAAUGUCAUGGUGUUGCAUUUUGUGAUGUUACAUGUUUUUACUUACAUUGUAUAUAUGACUUAGUUAUGUGCUUUACUAUCAAGUUUCCUCUUAUCUUUACAUUUUGUAUUGUGUGAUUUGAUAUAUUUUAAGAAAUGCGUAUGACAAGUAAUCGAGAAGCGGGUUUAGGUUUAAGUAUUUUGGUUGAUAGAAGUUAGGUUGCAUUUAUUGUUUAAUUUUAAAAUAAAUGAUUUUAUCACGUAAUGUUAAAAGAUGACUUUGUUAGGUCUAAAAUGCAUAAACAAGUUUCAUGUCCAAAAUAUCGUUUAAUAGAGUUAUAAAUAGAGUCGAGUUAUCAGGAGUUGGAAGUGUCUUUCGAAGGAAUCAAAGUACUUAAGAAAAUCAAGACGAAGACAAAACUGCUCAUUGGCCCCCUGCUCGAGCGAUUUUUGCAGUGACUUAACUGCUCGCUGAGCGACACAUGAUUGCUCAAGCAUUCAUGCUAAUUGGUGAAACCUUAAUUCACGAUUUUGAUAGUUUUACAAUCCCAAACAACUUCAAACACUUUAUAUUAGAAAUAUCCAAGUCAUACUUUGUCCCUAUGGUGUGUUGAGACUUUAUUUAUUCAAGAAAUCAUAUAGAAAAUCAAACAUCAAUUCUAUAAUUCUCUUGAGUCAACCACAAGAUCAAAAGCAUUAAAAUAUCAAAAGAUCAACCACCAACAAAAAUAUUAAUCAAAUAGCCUUUAAAGUUCUAAAAAUUGGAAUAGGUAUUUGGAGUUUUAGUUUGUAAAAUACCGAGUCCGUUCUUGAUGGUGAAUUUCAGCGGAAAAUACUGAAGAGCGCAAUAGAAGAGUUUUUCAGUGGUUGCAACUUGGGUGGUAAGAAUUUACUAAGGUUGAGUUGUGUAUGGCCCACUGUAAAUUUAAUCUUUUCUGGUGGAUCUUUUAUUGGCAAUGAGUGCCUAGAUUUUUUUUUAUCUCUUGAAGAAUUCUUCAAGGAGUUGUUGACCUAUGGUUGAUUCUACGUUUUGAUUAUAACAAUCAAAUUGUUUUUCUCUAACAUUUGAAUUUGAGUUGUUAUAGCUAUUGUGGCAAAGUUGAUCAAUUGAAAACAAAAAGGUCACUAUCAACAGAUUGGCAAAUUGACGUCCAAUGAAAAUAGAGAUGGAAGCCGAGCAUAGACGCCAAAUCUAUCACGACAAGCACAUCAACGUCAAACAUCAAAGAUAUUAGAUUUAGAAAUUUUGGAUUCAUAUGUGAAGGUAAAAUGCUUUAAUCCUUAGCAAUUAAUCAUUAAAAGCUCGAGAUAAAUUUUUAUGUAAAGAAAAAUGAAUUCUUAAAACUGCUUGCAUAAAAUUAUUUUUUAAAAGGUAAGAAUCUCAACUUGAUAUUCAAACUUCUUACAAAUAUCACUUACCUUGAAAAAUUAAGUGAAAACAUCCUUCAAAGAUCUACAUUUUUCAAAACAAUCAAAGAAGGAAAAAUUCGAAAAAACAUUGUCCAAAUGGAAGUCCAGUUGGCCUAGCAGACAUCUGGUUUAUCCAACGUUCGAAUUUUAACCGUUCUGAUAUUUUGACGCACAACUACUAGUUCAUUGUCCAAUUCAGAAGAGAACGUCUGAUUGAGUCGUCCGGGUUGGUCAAAACUUUUGACAUUUUAACUAAUAUAAAUAUCACCUCAAUAACAAACUUUUAUAAGCAUUAAAGUGAGAUACUCUUGAG